This 305-nucleotide ribosomal RNA is filed under the name uncultured bacterium. RNAcentral describes it as "bacterial SSU rRNA". It matches the Rfam family "Bacterial small subunit ribosomal RNA", at positions 334 to 654 of the family's 1533-position model. The record is from RNAcentral.
UAAGCCUACGGGGCGCAGCAGUGGGGGAUAUUGCACAAUGGGGGAAACCCUGAUGCAGCGACGCCGCGUGGGCGAAGAAGUAUUUCGGUAUGUAAAGCCCUAUCAGCAGGGAAGAAGAAAUGACGGUACCUGAGUAAGAAGCACCGGCUAAAUACGUGCCAGCAGCCGCGGUAAUACGUAGGGGGCAAGCGUUAUCCGGAUUUACUGGGUGUAAAGGGGGCGCAGACGGCAGCGCAAGCCAGGAGUGAAAGCCCGGGGCCCAACCCCGGGACUGCUCUUGGAACUGCGCGGCUGGAGUGCAGGAG